UAUGAAGGGGGCUAGCGUUGCUCGGAAUCACUGGGCGUAAAGCGCACGUAGGCGGAUUGCUAAGUCAGGGGUGAAAUCCUGGAGCUCAACUCCAGAACUGCCCUUGAUACUGGCGGUCUCGAGUCCGGGAGAGGUGAGUGGAACUGCGAGUGUAGAGGUGAAAUUCGUAGAUAUUCGGAAGAACACCAGUGGCGAAGGCGACACACUGGGCCAUUACUGACGCUGAGGCUCGAAAGCGUGGGGAGCAAACAGG
Molecule: ribosomal RNA, 253 nt
Filed under: uncultured bacterium
Lineage: Bacteria
Description: partial 16S ribosomal RNA
Rfam family: Bacterial small subunit ribosomal RNA
Source: RNAcentral